This 955-nucleotide ribosomal RNA is filed under the name Epidermophyton floccosum. RNAcentral's name for it is "LSU rRNA". It matches the Rfam family "Eukaryotic large subunit ribosomal RNA", at positions 24 to 975 of the family's 3401-position model. Lineage: Eukaryota; Fungi; Ascomycota; Eurotiomycetes; Onygenales; Arthrodermataceae. The record is from RNAcentral.
CUACCCCGCUUGAACUAAGCAUAUCAAUAAGCGGAGGAAAAGAAACCAACAGGGAUUGCCCCAGUAACGGCGAGUGAAGCGGCAAGAGCUCAAAUUUGAAAUCUGGCCUCCUCCGGGGGUCCGAGUUGUAAUUUGUAGAGGAUGCUUCGGGUGCGGCCGCCGUCUAAGUUCCUUGGAACAGGACGUCAGAGAGGGUGAGAAUCCCGUCUUGGGCGGCCGGCGCGCGCCCGUGUGAAGCUCCUUCGACGAGUCGAGUUGUUUGGGAAUGCAGCUCUAAGCGGGUGGUAAAUUUCAUCUAAAGCUAAAUACUGGCCGGAGACCGAUAGCGCACAAGUAGAGUGAUCGAAAGGUUAAAAGCACCUUGAAAAGGGAGUUAAACAGCACGUGAAAUUGUUGAAAGGGAAGCGCUUGCGGCCAGACUCGGGGGGCGGGGUUCAGCGGGCGCUCGUCGCCCGUGCACUCCCCGCGUUCCCGGGCCAGCAUCAGUUUCGACGGCCGGUCAAAGGCCCCCGGAAUGUGUCGUCUCUAGGGACGUCUUAUAGCCGGGGGUGCAAUGCGGCCCGUCGGGACUGAGGAACGCGCUCCGGCUCGGAUGCUGGCGUAAUGGUCGUAAGCGGCCCGUCUUGAAACACGGACCAAGGAGUCUAACAUCCACGCGAGUGUUCGGGUGUCAAACCCGUGCGCGCAGUGAAAGCGAACGGAGGUGGGAGCCUCAGGGCGCACCAUCGACCGAUCCUGAAGUCUUCGGAUGGAUUUGAGUAGGAGCGUGGCCGUUGGGACCCGAAAGAUGGUGAACUAUGCCUGAAUAGGGUGAAGCCAGAGGAAACUCUGGUGGAGGCUCGCAGCGGUUCUGACGUGCAAAUCGAUCGUCAAAUUUGGGCAUAGGGGCGAAAGACUAAUCGAACCAUCUAGUAGCUGGUUCCUGCGGUUUCCCCCCCCCCAAAAAAAAAAAACA